This 324-nucleotide long non-coding RNA is filed under the name Elaeis guineensis (African oil palm). RNAcentral describes it as "long non-coding RNA (EGUI_LNC021595)". Lineage: Eukaryota; Viridiplantae; Streptophyta; Magnoliopsida; Arecales; Arecaceae. The record is from RNAcentral.
GGUCAGAUGGAUCAUAAAAUUACUAGCUGCCCGCUAAAUACUGAAAAUCAAGUUGGCCAAAGAACUUAUGAAGGACAACAUAAGGGUGGUGGACAGAUUUCUAAAACCCAGGGAAGAGUUUAUACACUUACUCAAUAGAAUCCACAGGCUUCCAAUACACUGGUGACAUAUAUGAAAAAUUUCGAGGAUAAAAUUUCUUUUUAGGGGUGAAAAAUGUUAUAGUCCAAAAUCCAAGCCCAAUCCAGCAAGACCCAAGCCCAGGAAAAAAAAAUAGAGGAAACAAAUCGGGAAGAAGACUCUCGAUAGGAGUCUUCUUCUCCGGUG